RNAcentral lists this transfer RNA (72 nucleotides) under Neoconidiobolus thromboides. RNAcentral's name for it is "Conidiobolus thromboides tRNA-Met". It matches the Rfam family "tRNA". Rfam says of the family: Transfer RNA (tRNA) molecules are approximately 80 nucleotides in length. Their secondary structure includes four short double-helical elements and three loops (D, anti-codon, and T loops). The record is from RNAcentral. Lineage: Eukaryota; Fungi; Entomophthoromycota; Entomophthoromycetes; Entomophthorales; Neoconidiobolaceae.
AGCGAUUUAGUGUAAAUGGUAGCACAAAAGGCUCAUGUCCUUUUAGUAGUUGUUCAAGUCAACUUAUCGCAC